GUCGAAAUCCCAGCUCUGCUCUAUUUUUGUUCUCAACCACUUCCAUAACUCGACUCCAUCUGUCAGUGCUUCCAGUCUGAACAAUCUCUUUGGCAUCCUUUAAAGAAGACAUGGGUGCCCCAGCUUUCUUUAAUUCAUCAGCAAUAGACAAAGCUUGGAACGAUGUUCCAACCUCCUCCUCAACAUCAACAUAAGUAAAGGAUGACAAAUGGCUUACCAAUAAUUCCU
This 228-nucleotide long non-coding RNA is filed under the name Lathyrus oleraceus (garden pea). RNAcentral describes it as "Pisum sativum (pea) long non-coding RNA (PSAT_LNC029499)". The record is from RNAcentral. Lineage: Eukaryota; Viridiplantae; Streptophyta; Magnoliopsida; Fabales; Fabaceae.